This is a long non-coding RNA of Passer domesticus (house sparrow), 1947 nucleotides long. RefSeq lists it as uncharacterized. NCBI's taxonomy places the organism in Eukaryota, Metazoa, Chordata, Aves, Passeriformes, Passeridae. The record is from RefSeq and is a predicted model, not a curated record. The transcript has 3 exons.
GGUUUACGUACUUUCAUAAAGACUCAAAUUACAGACCUGUAAGUGUGAAUUCACUCUUAUGUAAGCUUUUUUUCAACAAUGCUGUUAGAUAACUUUUGAAGAAGUGAAAUUUGAUCUAAAGGCUUUGCUGAUGUGGAAAGGUUUUGCUAAUACAUCCUGUGGGAACAGCUGACUACUGCCUGGGCUGUGGGAAUGACUGUGAUUUUUGGAUGGCACUCUUCAGAAUGACUCUAUCCCGAACAUUCUGGUGUCUCAAGCUACUAAACUCAUCCAGAAAAACAAUUUAGAAAUGUGUAAAAUGGUUUUUUACCUCUUCUCAUAUAGCAGAUGACUUAUGUCCCCCAGGUUUUCCACAAGUUUUGGUGUGAUUGCUGGUUUGUUUUGGGUUUUUUUUCUCCCAGGUUUUUUUCACGUGAAGAAGCUAAGUUUUCUAACAUUUGGAAAUAUAGACAUUAAUAGCUCAGGGACUAUACAAAUUCACGCAUGUAAAUUCUUAGGUAUAUAAUCAUGCUGGCAGAAAUGUUUAGUCAAAAAUAAAAAUCCUCUAGAAAAUCACAUCCAUUUCAGAAAAAAAAAAGAAAAAGUGUAAAAAUAUCAGUGUUGAUGUACUGAAGAGCCAUUCUGAACAUUGGGGUGCAUAAGACAAGAUUUUUACAGGACAUUAAGCACCUGACAGUGACUAGGAAAAAGGUUCAUGGGAGAAACAUAGAUUGACUCUAGAGAAGACAGAAGAAUGAAGAAGUUAUUAACCACUGAAAAGACUUUCAUUACCUCAUUUUCCUUACAUUACAUAGAAACUUACUGAAUUUAUUAGGCUACUGGCAAGGUUAAAGAAUAUACUUUUUUUUUUUUCCUAGACAUGUUAAUGAUUCCAGUGUUACAAAAUUUUCUCUUCAGUAUCACCUGCUGUGGUAACCACUAUAAAUUCCUAAUAACGUCCUUUAUGUUUAACCAUAAUCAGAUAUUUAAUAUAUUUUACAAGUAAAGGUCAGAGAGCCCACUUGGUCCUUUUUUAUCAUGAUUGGAAAGGUGAAUUUAGAAGACUAAGACAUCACUUCAGGAAAAAAUAUUGAAAAAAUAUUUUCAAACACAGUUCUGUAAAAGGUUUUGAAAUAGACAAUUUUUCUAAGACCUUCAGAAAACUUAAUUCCCAUAUUAGUUCUGCAAAUGUCUGCACUAUUCCCAAAACGAUUGUUACUAAAAUAGGAUGUUAAGGAAAGUAAUGUAAUUUAAUAGAGCCAUAGAAAUAAAAGACAUGAAUUUCAAUAAUUAUCACAUAACACUGAUAAACUCAACCCAUCGUUAAACAGAAUAGGGUUCAAGAGAAACAAAAAAUAAUCUUAUAAUUUAUACUGCAAUAGGUGAGGAAACACCUUUUCACAGGAACACCAAAAUUAUUGAAUUAGCCAUGCAAAGAAGAUUGGCCUCAAAAUUCGGAGAAAUGGGCAGACGGGAACGUCAUGGAGUUCAACGAAUUGCAACGUCCUGCUCCUGGGGAGGAACAACUCCAAGUGCCAACCUGCGCUCAGGGCAAUCCAGCUGGAAAGCAGCUUGGCAGAACAGGGUCUGGGGCUGUGUUCUUGGACAUGCACCAAGCUGAACAUGAGCCAGCAACCUGCCCUUGCACCAGAGAAGUGACAAAGUGGAGAAAUAUGACUUCUGAGGCAAUCUUGUCUUAACCCACAGGACUCUGACAGCCUAAAGACAUAAUCAAAGCAAGAGGAGGAACUGAUAAAAAAAGGAAGGCAAUUGCUGAAGAUUACAUAUUGUGUUCCAUGUGUUACUGUUACACUUUUCUUUAUGUUUGGAAUUUCCCCUUAGAUCCAUUUAAAAAUCUUUUUCUCCCUUAAAAAUCAGUGACAAAAGUUAUUUUUGAUCCUAAUACUUACUGUUUUCAAAUAUUCUUAUUAAAAUAUCUAUGUGGCCCUUUUCCUAAAAGGACUCAUA